GGGGUUGUGGCUCAGUGGUAGAGCGCCCGUGUCGCACAUGUGAGACCCUGGGUUCAAUCCUCAGCACCACA
RNAcentral lists this transfer RNA (71 nucleotides) under Marmota monax (woodchuck). RNAcentral's name for it is "tRNA.Ala". It matches the Rfam family "tRNA". From Rfam's summary of the family: Transfer RNA (tRNA) molecules are approximately 80 nucleotides in length. The record is from RNAcentral. Lineage: Eukaryota; Metazoa; Chordata; Mammalia; Rodentia; Sciuridae.